RNAcentral lists this ribosomal RNA (468 nucleotides) under uncultured bacterium. RNAcentral describes it as "partial 16S ribosomal RNA". It matches the Rfam family "Bacterial small subunit ribosomal RNA", at positions 28 to 507 of the family's 1533-position model. The record is from RNAcentral.
GACGAACGCUGGCGGCGUGCUUAACACAUGCAAGUCGAACGGAAAGGCCCUGCUUUUGUGGGGUGCUCGAGUGGCGAACGGGUGAGUAACACGUGAGUAACCUGCCCUUGACUUUGGGAUAACUUCAGGAAACUGGGGCUAAUACCGGAUAGGAGCUCCUGCUGCAUGGUGGGGGUUGGAAAGUUUCGGCGGUUGGGGAUGGACUCGCGGCUUAUCAGCUUGUUGGUGGGGUAGUUGCUUACCAAGGCUUUGACGGGUAGCCGGCCUGAGAGGGUGACCGGCCACAUUGGGACUGAGAUACGGCCCAGACUGCUACGGGAGGCAGCAGUGGGGAAUAUUGCACAAUGGGCGGAAGCCUGAUGCAGCAACGCCGCGUGCGGGAUGACGGCCUUCGGGUUGUAAACCGCUUUCGCCUGUGACGAAGCGUGAGUGACGGUAAUGGGUAAAGAAGCACCGGCUAACUACGUG